Non-coding RNA from Brachypodium distachyon (stiff brome), 135 nucleotides. Lineage: Eukaryota; Viridiplantae; Streptophyta; Magnoliopsida; Poales; Poaceae. The record is from Rfam.
AAUGUACUCCUUCCGUCCAACAAAAGAUGUCUCAAGUUUGUCAAAAUUUGGAUGUAUCUAAACAUGACUUAGUGUAUAAAUGCAUUCAAAUUUAGUCAAAGUGGAGACAUCCGUUGUUGGACGGAGAAAUAUAGA